UACACUCCUACGGGAGGCAGCAGUGGGGAAUUUUGGACAAUGGGCGAAAGCCUGAUCCAGCCAUGCCGCGUGCAGGAUGAAGGCCUUCGGGUUGUAAACUGCUUUUGUACGGAACGAAACGGCCUUUUCUAAUAAAGAGGGCUAAUGACGGUACCGUAAGAAUAAGCACCGGCUAACUACGUGCCAGCAGCCGCGGUAAUACGUAGGGUGCAAGCGUUAAUCGGAAUUACUGGGCGUAAAGCGUGCGCAGGCGGUUAUGUAAGACAGUUGUGAAAUCCCCGGGCUCAACCUGGGAACUGCAUCUGUGACUGCAUAGCUAGAGUACGGUAGAGGGGGAUGGAAUUCCGCGUGUAGCAGUGAAAUGCGUAGAUAUGCGGAGGAACACCGAUGGCGAAGGCAAUCCCCUGGACCUGUACUGACGCUCAUGCACGAAAGCGUGGGGAGCAAACAGGAUUAGAAACCCCUGUAGUCCCAUGA
This 477-nucleotide ribosomal RNA is filed under the name uncultured organism. RNAcentral describes it as "partial 16S ribosomal RNA". It matches the Rfam family "Bacterial small subunit ribosomal RNA", at positions 332 to 800 of the family's 1533-position model. The record is from RNAcentral.